GACGAACGCUGGCGGCGUGCUUAACACAUGCAAGUCGUACGGUAAGGCCCUUUCGGGGGUACACGAGUGGCGAACGGGUGAGUAACACGUGAGUAACCUGCCCACAACUUUGGGAUAACGCUAGGAAACUGGUGCUAAUACUGGAUAUGUGCUCCUGCUGCAUGGUGGGGGUUGGAAAGCUCCGGCGGUUGUGGAUGGACUCGCGGCCUAUCAGCUUGUUGGUGGGGUAGUGGCCUACCAAGGCGGCGACGGGUAGCCGGCCUGAGAGGGUGACCGGCCACAUUGGGACUGAGAUACGGCCCAGACUCCUACGGGAGGCAGCAGUGGGGAAUAUUGCACAAUGGGCGCAAGCCUGAUGCAGCAACGCCGCGUGCGGGAUGACGGCCUUCGGGUUGUAAACCGCUUUCAGCAGGGACGAAGCUUUUUGUGACGGUACCUGCAGAAGAAGCACCGGCUAACUACAUG
RNAcentral lists this ribosomal RNA (465 nucleotides) under uncultured bacterium. RNAcentral describes it as "partial 16S ribosomal RNA". It matches the Rfam family "Bacterial small subunit ribosomal RNA", at positions 28 to 507 of the family's 1533-position model. The record is from RNAcentral.